GGGUUGGUAGCUCAGUCGGUAGAGCAGCGGACUUUUAAUCCGUUGGUCCCGGGUUCGAAUCCCGGCCAACCCACC
RNAcentral lists this transfer RNA (75 nucleotides) under Taylorella equigenitalis MCE9. RNAcentral describes it as "tRNA-Lys". It matches the Rfam family "tRNA". Rfam says of the family: Transfer RNA (tRNA) molecules are approximately 80 nucleotides in length. Their secondary structure includes four short double-helical elements and three loops (D, anti-codon, and T loops). Further hydrogen bonds mediate the characteristic L-shaped molecular structure. tRNAs have two regions of fundamental functional importance: the anti-codon, which is responsible for specific mRNA codon recognition, and the 3' end, to which the tRNAs corresponding amino acid is attached (by aminoacyl-tRNA synthetases). tRNAs cope with the degeneracy of the genetic code in two manners: having more than one tRNA (with a specific anti-codon) for a particular amino acid; and 'wobble' base-pairing, i.e. permitting non-standard base-pairing at the 3rd anti-codon position. Lineage: Bacteria; Pseudomonadati; Pseudomonadota; Betaproteobacteria; Burkholderiales; Alcaligenaceae. The record is from RNAcentral.